UUCCCUAUUCCCUAUUCCCGGCUAGCCGGGAAUAGCUAAUUCCCUAUUCCCGGCAGCUACGCAGCCGGGAAUAGGGAAUC
This 80-nucleotide transfer RNA is filed under the name Fusarium pseudograminearum CS3220. Its description in RNAcentral is "tRNA-Ser". The record is from RNAcentral. RNAcentral also lists the same sequence under 3 other names. Lineage: Eukaryota; Fungi; Ascomycota; Sordariomycetes; Hypocreales; Nectriaceae.